RNAcentral lists this ribosomal RNA (488 nucleotides) under uncultured bacterium. Its description in RNAcentral is "partial 16S ribosomal RNA". It matches the Rfam family "Bacterial small subunit ribosomal RNA", at positions 899 to 1397 of the family's 1533-position model. The record is from RNAcentral.
ACUCAAAUGAAUUGACGGGGACCUGCACAACCAGUGGAGCAUGUGGUUUAAUUCGAAACGAAACGAAGUACCUUACCCAGGUUUGACAUGCUAUCGUACAUUUCUCCAGAAACGGAGAGAAAUCCGCAAGGAUGAUAGCACAGGUGUUGCAUGGCCGUCGUAAGCUCGUGUCGUGGGAUGUUCCCUUCAGUGGGGUAACGAGCGAAACCUCUGUCAUAUAUUAAAUAUCUAUAUGAGACUACCCACCUAUGGUGGGAGGAAGCGGAGACGACGUCAGGUCAGCAUGGCCCUUAUGUCUGGGGCUACACACAUGCUACAAUGGAGCCGACAAUGGGUUGCCAAGCCGUAAGGCGGAGCUAAUCCCAUCAAACGGCUUCUCAGUGGGGAUUGGGGGCUGCAACUCGCCCCCAUGAACUUGGAAUUGGUAGUAAUCGGAGGUCAGCUAUACUCCGGUGAAUACGUUCUCAGGUCUUGCACACACCGCCCGU